ACGAAAGGUUCGACGCACUCUUUAACUGGUCCUCGAGAUUGCCCGCUGAGAAAUUCAUUAAGAACCCUUCGUUAAUGGCGCCAUCCGUAGUUUCACAAAAAAGAGACAUAGAGGAGGAAUAGGAUUAGUUCGAAAACUGCGCAUAACUUCCAUUUUACGAUACCUAAGCUCCGAAUCUUACGCAUCAAAAGAGAAAAUAAACGAGAAAUAGCGAAGAGAGGGAAAGAAAGACAGCGUAAAUCAAGCUGGUAGCAGAAGCUGGUCCCAGAGC
Molecule: unclassified non-coding RNA, 271 nt
Filed under: Bombus terrestris (buff-tailed bumblebee)
Lineage: Eukaryota; Metazoa; Arthropoda; Insecta; Hymenoptera; Apidae
Description: misc RNA ENSBTSG00005030655.1
Source: RNAcentral